This 468-nucleotide ribosomal RNA is filed under the name uncultured bacterium. Its description in RNAcentral is "partial 16S ribosomal RNA". It matches the Rfam family "Bacterial small subunit ribosomal RNA", at positions 28 to 507 of the family's 1533-position model. The record is from RNAcentral.
GACGAACGCUGGCGGCGUGCUUAACACAUGCAAGUCGAACGGAAAGGCCCUGCUUUUGUGGGGUGCUCGAGUGGCGAACGGGUGAGUAACACGUGAGUAACCUGCCCUUGACUUUGGGAUAACUUCAGGAAACUGGGGCUAAUACCGGAUAGGAGCUCCUGCUGCAUGGUGGGGGUUGGAAAGUUUCGGCGGUUGGGGAUGGACUCGCGGCUUAUCAGCUUGUUGGUGGGGUAGUGGCUUACCAAGGCUUUGACGGGUAGCCGGCCUGAGAGGGUGACCGGCCACAUUGGGACUGGGAUACGGCCCAGACCCCCACGGGAGGCAGGAGUGGGGAAUAUUGCACCAUGGGCGGAAGCCUGAUGCAGCAACGCCGCGUGCGGGAUGACGGCCUUCGGGUUGUAAACCGCUUUCGCCUGUGACGAAGCGUGAGUGACGGUAAUGGGUAAAGAAGCACCGGCUAACUACGUG